RNAcentral lists this ribosomal RNA (995 nucleotides) under uncultured bacterium. RNAcentral's name for it is "bacterial SSU rRNA". It matches the Rfam family "Bacterial small subunit ribosomal RNA", at positions 355 to 1375 of the family's 1533-position model. The record is from RNAcentral.
UGGGGAAUAUUGCACAAUGGGGGAAACCCUGAUGCAGCGACGCCGCGUGGAGGAAGAAGGUCUUCGGAUUGUAAACUCCUGUUGUUGAGGAAGAUAAUGACGGUACUCAACAAGGAAGUGACGGCUAACUACGUGCCAGCAGCCGCGGUAAAACGUAGGUCACAAGCGUUGUCCGGAAUUACUGGGUGUAAAGGGAGCGCAGGCGGGCGAUCAAGUUGGAAGUGAAAUCCAUGGGCUCAACCCAUGAACUGCUUUCAAAACUGGUCGUCUUGAGUAGUGCAGAGGUAGGCGGAAUUCCCGGUGUAGCGGUGGAAUGCGUAGAUAUCGGGAGGAACACCAGUGGCGAAGGCGGCCUACUGGGCACCAACUGACGCUGAGGCUCGAAAGUGUGGGUAGCAAACAGGAUUAGAUACCCUGGUAGUCCACACCGUAAACGAUGAUUACUAGGUGUUGGGAGAUUGACCCUCUCAGUGCCGCAGUUAACACAAUAAGUAAUCCACCUGGGGAGUACGACCGCAAGGUUGAAACUCAAAGGAAUUGACGGGGGCCCGCACAAGCAGUGGAGUAUGUGGUUUAAUUCGACGCAACGCGAAGAACCUUACCAAGUCUUGACAUCCCUUGACGAUGCUGGAAACAGUAUUUCUCUUCGGAGCAAGGAGACAGGUGGUGCAUGGUUGUCGUCAGCUCGUGUCGUGAGAUGUUGGGUUAAGUCCCGCAACGAGCGCAACCCUUAUGGUCAGUUACUACGCAAGAGGACUCUGGCCAGACUGCCGUUGACAAAACGGAGGAAGGUGGGGAUGACGUCAAAUCAUCAUGCCCUUUAUGACUUGGGCUACACACGUACUACAAUGGCGUUAAACAAAGAGAAGCAAGGCCGCGAGGUGGAGCAAAACUCAGAAACAACGUCCCAGUUCGGACUGCAGGCUGCAACUCGCCUGCACGAAGUCGGAAUUGCUAGUAAUCGUGGAUCAGCAUGCCACGGUGAAUACGUUCCC